AUACUGUAUAGGAGUGCUGCUAUCAAUACUGGAGGGAAUCAGAGAUUGUUCAAUUUGGAGAAUAUUUUGUAAAAUGUUUAUUAAGCAAAGACUGCAAUGGAUAUAUUGAGAGAAAGUUGCACAUCAGAUCAGACAAAAACGAUAGUUCUUCAUGGGAUGUGGUGCAGUUUCAAGUGACUAACUGGCCUACAGAUGGUGUCAUUAGGGAACCACGUACUGUCCUACAAGUUAUUGAUGAUGUUAUACACAGACAACAAAAGAUUGGAGGAGGACCAGUAGUGGUACAUUGUAGUGAUACAGUGAGUCGUUCAGGAGUCUAUUGUUCAGUGAGUGUUGCUCUAGAACAGUGUAAGGCAGAAGGUGUAGUGGAUGUAUUUCAAGUAACUAAAUCUGUCAGGAGAAGCAAACCAGGAGCUGUCACUACACUGGAUCAAUACAGUUCAAUAUAUGAAGCGAUUUCAAUGUACUUGAAGUUACACAGUACUUACGCUAACUUUACAUAAUUUAAUAUACUCAAUGAUUAACUUGUUGUAUUGUAGUGUGGACUGAUAAGUAGACAUAGCUUUAGCUUUUAUGUAGUAACUUCUUUAUUUUUGUAAAUAGUGUAUUUGAUUCACUAAAUAUGAUAAUUAAUAAAUUUGAAUUUAA
Amphimedon queenslandica is the source of this 648-nucleotide long non-coding RNA. RefSeq lists it as uncharacterized. The record is from RefSeq and is a predicted model, not a curated record. NCBI's taxonomy places the organism in Eukaryota, Metazoa, Porifera, Demospongiae, Haplosclerida, Niphatidae. The transcript is spliced from 3 exons.